Molecule: long non-coding RNA, 7904 nt
Organism: Mustela erminea (ermine)
Lineage: Eukaryota; Metazoa; Chordata; Mammalia; Carnivora; Mustelidae
Exons: 3
Source: RefSeq, a predicted model, not a curated record
UCAUCACCUGCAUGGACCCUGCAAGCAGGAGCCAAGGCUAUUAAUGUGCAGUGCAUUCCUUUUUUUAUUUUUUGGAAAGCAACCACUAUGUAAACCCAGGGAAGAUUAUACUUUGUUUUGUUUGGAACUUUCCCAAGAACUGUUCACUUUUACUGAAAUCCGGUCAUGCCAGCCUGCUGGGCUCACCACCUCCCUGCACACUCCUCGGCCAAGUGCUCUGCUCCUUUGUCCACAUGGUCCUACUUUGGAAUCCACUUUCCCCUCCCUCCCCAGAUUCGACCCACCAGCCAAGGCACACCUCUUCUAGUGCUCACUCAGGCUUUUGAUUCCCUUGAGCCCUUAUUAUGCAUGCAGCCUGUGUUAUUGGGACUUAAUUAUACACCACCAGGUAGUGUGGCUUCAUUCAUGCCUUUUCUUGCUUCUCAAUGAAGCUGUAGCAGCGAAAGGCACUUAGGAAGGAAAGGAAACUUACCGUGUUCUAGAAGCCGUACUGUGCACAGGUGUUUUCAUGGUCACUGCCCUGCUGAGGGCCCCAUGAGGGCAAAGGCUAUGUGCCUUGCUCAGUGCUCAAUCCUCAAUGCCCCCAUGGUGUGUGGUACACAGCAGGCACUCAAUAAAUGUUUGCAGAGUAGAUGAGUAAUACUACGGCUGGUAUCUGAAUAUUUAGUAGGUUUAGGGAAAUAGUCAAUGGAAGUCAUUUUCUUCUUCCUUUUUGUGGCCACCUUCAGGAGCUUUCCUUUUCCUUAAAGUUCUCAGGGUCUGUUGUGGCUUGAGGGGUACAAACACUUCCCCUCCCCAACAUGUCCACAUCAUAACCCUCAGAACCUGGGAACGUGAUCUUACUUGGAAAAGGGGUCUUUGCAGAUAUAGUUAAGGAUCUAGGGGUGAUCUUGUUCUGGAUUACCUGGGUGGGCCCUAAAUCCAGUGACAGGUGUUUUGUAAGAGAGAACGGAGAAGACACACAGACACGGAGGGGAUGGUCACAUGAGGACCGUGAUGGGGUCUACCAGGCAUCUGAAGUUUCUGCGGGAUAGCUGCCGAUCCCAGUCACCAACAGCCCCUCAGAGACUCAAGGACAACGAAUCAGACCCACCUCAGCCCUCUGUUCCUACCGGGAAGAAUGAAAAGGAGAUUUAUAUGGCUCUUUUUAUCCCAUCUUUCUGCCAAAUAGGGAUGGAAAUAGAGUUAAGAGUUUCCCUGAGGCAAACAUAGAUCAUAUCUCCUCACUGUUUAAAAUCACUGGAUAGCUUCCCAUGGCACUCGGAAGAAAAACUGAAUUCCUUUCCAUGGCCCAAGACUCUUCUAGACUUGCCCCUGCUGCCAACCCACCUCCUGUGUUCCUUUGGGCUCAUCUCUCCCCUCCCCUUUGCUCACCUGGCUACACUGGCCUCCUGACGGUUUCUCAAAUGCUCCAAUCUCAUCCUUGCCCCAGGGCCUUUGCACUUGCUGUUGCUUCUGUGUGGGGCUCUUCUUGAGACUUGGCCUUGCUGGCUUGUUCUGUUAUUCAGAACUCAGCCCGAGGUCACCUCCUCAGUGAAGCCCGGCUGGCCUCCCCAUCUGAAGGAGCCCCCACUGUUUACUCCCUAUGUCACCAGCCGUAUAUUUCUUCUUGACAUUUAUCACCUUCUGAAAUGGUUUCCUUUAUUGGGUCAUUUGUUUGUGGUCUACUUUCCCUGGACUGAGGGUUCUGGGUGACUCAGGGCGCUCUCCACUCCCCCCGCCAAUCCCCCCCAGGGGAAUAUAUAAUUGGUGCUCUAUAAAAACUCACUGGGAGACGGAAGGACACACAGCAAAGCCUGCCCUUUCCAGCCCAGCACUUGACGUGGUUUUAAAAGGGACACCCUCCCAGAACCAGGUGUGCUCCCUGAGCCUCUGGGCCAAGGCUCCCAGCGGUGGGUGAAAGAAAGCAAGGCUGCAAGCAGAGAACUGGCUCUUGGGUUACGAACUGAACAGGAGUCAUCAGGCCUCGGGACUGUGUGAGCGUCUCUUCUCAAGGUCACACACCCUCCCAAGAAGCCCCAGGGGACACAGCUGUAACUGGAGGCAAUUACAGGGUUUCUACCAGGUGUGACACUUCCCUCUGGAGGGGAUGGAUGAGGGGGGCUUUCCGAGGCCUGCCUGACCAUCUGGUGCUCACACGUUGGAGCCUGCAGAGGGAGCAGGCCACCGCCUCAGGGUCAGGCAGAACCAUGGGAUGCCCCCCUCCCAGGCCUUGUGCCCUGCCUGGGGAAGGGGCAGGAAUCCAGACAGGCCUUCUGCUUGCCCAUCCGUUCUCUCUACAUGGAAUUUUUACUGCCAAUUGAGAUAGCAAGGGCAUGCCCCUUGGCCCCCAGCUUGCACACUGGCUACAUUCCGACCUCAUGGCCUUUGCCUGAGCUGUGCCCUCUGCCUGCAGGGCUCCCUCCAGCCUCCCUCAGGUGAUGGAGCAAACAUCAAAUAUCUGAGGGGACUUCCCGAGCCCGGAAUGGAUGCCGCUGCCCUUGCUUCUGGCACCCACCGUGGCCCCUCCCCUUGCACUUUUCCCCACAUCACCUCUUGCCCUCGGACCCCACUUUUAGCUCCCCUGUUUGCACACUGCCCGUUGCCCCUCCUGGUCCAGCCACAUGGCAGUAGGGAUCUGGGCUGGCUCUAUUUACCGUUAUGUUCCCAAACCUAGCACAGUGCCUGGCACACAGCAGGUGCUCAGUAAAUAUCUGCUAAAUUCAGAAACAUAGGACCUUCUUCUUUAGCUUCUAUGGACCUUGAGAGCCCCAGCUGGUUUGUAUUCAUAGACAUGUGCCUUUUGUGCGGUGGAUCUGAAAAAAAUAUGACUUGAAAUAGCAUCCGACAGAUCCCGUGUUCUCCAGUUUGCCACACUCCCCACCAUGCCCUGCAGUCUACACCCAUUCCACCCAUUCGUAUUACCAGCCAGGUCCCUGAAGGCCUCGGAGCUUGGCAACCUCCUAAUAUAAUUUAGUUGAUGAGACAGGUCCAAACUUUUCCUGGGGCAGAGGGCAGUGUUCUACGCCAAUAAUAAUCAUCAUAAUUAUUGAGAGCAGUGAGUCUGGCUGGCUGCAUGCUUGUGGUAUGCACCACGCUGGGCAUGUGUCAAGCAUCAUUUUACUUAAUCCCCCAACAGCCCUUUUGAGGACAGGGAGUUAAGUGACCGGUCAGAGCUACAGAGCUUGGGAAGUGGGAUAUGCAGACUCAAACCCAAGCCUGACUGACAGGAACAGCAGGUGCUGGGUAUCAUGUUGCAGAAAUGUACGGUCUCAGAAAUGUUCCAGAAACGUAUGGUUCACACCACACUCGAGGUAGUGAUAAUUCACCCAGGGAAUGCACAAUGCUCCCUAUGCACUUGGUCAAUCCUUGGUUUCAGGGAGGCUCAGAAGGGUCCUGGGCUAGAUGUUGGGUCCCCUCGUCAUCCCAGAGGUGGCUUUAGCUGGCACGCCAGCUGUGGGAGCAGCAUAGAACCACCUCGCCAAAUAUUGGGGAUGCCAGUGGUGGGAAAGCGACUCCCUUUACUACCGAUGAGCUCCAGGAGAAAAUGUCAGCUGGUGCCAUCGUGUCCUUCUACCCACACAACUACUGUUUCCACCGGGAGGGAGCCAGACACCUGCUCAGAGCUCUCAGCCGGCAAUAUCAUUGGCUUAUGCCGAGUCACAUGGUUUAGUGUCCUCUACUUAGGGCAAGUGAUUCUGCCUUCUCUCAGUUAGGGUAGUGGACUCUUGUUCUUUAAAACAGAACAAUCAAGGCUGAUUAAAAGAGGUCAAUCCUAGUACAAGCAGCACAUAGGUGAGAAAAUUCUGGGAAGGGGAGGGCCUGGCUGGCGUGUGGCACACACGAGCUUCGUAGAACCUAGCGCGGCCCCCGCGGUGAGGUUAUGGGACCGUGUUGCGGACACCUUCAGAGCCACACACCCUCAACUGAGCUCCUGCGGUCACCGGCCCCCUCCUGCCUCCUCGGCUUCCCUCCAGUGACUUAGAUAAUAAUCUUGCUACGCCUUGCUUCCACCUCUCCGGUCCCACAUCCAAAUGAGCAGCAAGGCCUGUUGCUCCUCCUCCAAAGUAUAUCCAUCCUGCAGUCUGGUUGCCUCUUCCCGGGGCACCUGGUUAUCCUCUCUCCUCCGAGCUAGGUCAACUGCUUUGCUUCCUGACCGGACGGACCCUGACCAUUUCUUCUGCAAGGAGCAGGCAGAGUGCCUUCUCUCCUAAGCAGCCUCUGUGGCUCCCACUCAGCAGAGAACAGAGUCCCUGGGGUCACCCACAGGCCCUGCUGGAUCCAGACCCCUUCCCUGCCCACUCCCUGCAGCCACAGGGCCCUUGUCUCUGCCCUUGGACUUGCCAGGCCUGCUUCCACCUCCAAGCCUUUGCCUCUCUGUUCCUUUUGCUUGGAAUGCCCUUCCUGCAGCAACCCGAUGGCCUGUGCCCUCACUCCCUUCUCGUCUCUGCUCCCAGCCCCUGACAGUUCAGACCCCUUCUGUAAGUUUCUGACGUCUCCAUAUUUACAUAUUUAUCCCGCUUGUCGAUUGCCGGCGGCCUGGUGUCAGCGCAGGGAGGGCUGGGACAACCCACGGAGCCUCCCAGCCCUGAGGCCCAGGGCGGUGCCUGGCACAGGGCAGGUGCUCGGUAAGUACUCAUAGGAAUGCAUCUAGGGCAUCCCAGGCAGAACCAACGUUCUGCAAGCUCCUGACACACUAGGAGGAGAAAGGAUGGAGCGGCUGGUAAUGAGAACUCAACCUCUCUGCGUCUCCGGGGACUGCAGGAAGGACAAAGCUGGCUCCCCACGCAGCUUGCCAGACCCUUCUGGAAAGCAGGAGGCCGCCACCUGGAGGUGAGCUGAUGGGCAGCUCUCACCACCCCCUGCACCACCUGUCUGCUUGGUGCACUCACCCCUGCCCCAAGCAGCCGGCUGCAGGAGAGCUGUGUCAGUCCGCUGCUGCUCGAGUACGACUUACCAAAGCCCAAAAGGAUGGUGGCUCCCAUGCAGAAACAGCACGAGAAGCAAAGCGUCCCCGCGGGGACAGUAACCUGCUGUAUUAAAACGGCCACAGCGACAAGGCUCUACAAAUCCACAUCUGGAACACCGAACCACAGGAUCUGAUCUGCUCGUCCUGCCCAGCCCUGAUGUGGACGGACAGACGGCUCUGAUGGGAGGGGAGAACCCGGAGGAUGUGGCCACACAGACAGAAAGGCCAGUUUUUAUUAUUUUAAGUGAUGCCAGCGGCCAACCCAAACCUGCAUUGUCCAACAUAAACCUGGGGACGUGCAAACAAAACCAGGCCGGCUUCCUUCCAUGAUCGAACCCUCCAGCCUUGCCUUGCCGGGCCAGGGCUCAGGUCCCCCGACAGGUCUCUGCACCUCUCAAGGUCCCACCCCCACCGACUAUGUGGCAUAACCCCCCCUCCCCGUGGCGCUCCCCUGCCCACCCCUUUCUGAUCACUUUUUGGGGCCUCCUCAGCACUCGGACUGUGCUAUUUUUUUUCAUUAUCUGAUAUCUUUUCUUAAAGUGACUUUAAACAGUACCCUUUAGUCUCAGCCCAAGUAACUAUGUGAACUUUGGUGCCUGAUACACUGAUUUUUUUUUUUUUUUUUUGGAUGAACAUCAAAGUAAGUUUGUAAGCAGUUAAAUCGAGGUUUGCUGAGCUAUCGCAUGAGAUACCUGUGCCUUACCUGUCGUAGAAAGUCAUUUCAGGAAACAGUGAACUAACACGUUCUUCUAAAGGUCUGGGUCAGUGCAACCACUACCUCGAGGGAACAAGCAGGUGCUGGGGAAUUUCAAGAUUCGAACCAUGACCCAAUUUUUGCCACCCACAGGGCUUAGGCGUUUCCCAGCCACUUUCUGGCCUGGGGGCCCCUGCCAGCCGGGAGCAGAUGCCCCCCACACCCCUCUGUGACAGACUCCGGAAGCCCCCCCAAGUGGGCGGCAUGGGAGUCACUGAUCAUGAUGGAUAACUAAGGAAAUGAUACCUUCUGACAUUUGUUUUCUUAAAGGUAUAGGUAAAUGAUUAGAGUCUGUGACGUCAUCCCUCCUUGGGAAAGCCUGGCAGGGAAAUGGGAUACAGGGAAGAAAGAAAGCCCUUCAGUAAACCCAGAGUCUUGACUUAAAUCAGCAUUUCCUGUCUCUCACCUGGACUACUGGUGGCCAGAGGGCUUCUUUGAAAGGUGAAGCCAUAGCACGUGUUCCUCUGCUCAGUCUUUUCCACCAAUGGACCAUCUUGCACUGAAUAAAAGCCAAAGCUCCCCCUUUGGCCCAGAAGACCCCAUGUGACUUGGAUACUGAUUCUCCCCAGCUACAACUUGUACCUCUGUCCCCCACUCUCCCUCUCCUCUGGUCGUGCUGACCUCACUGCUACUAGAAUGCACCAAGGCACCAAACAUGCUCCUGCCUCAGGGCCUUUGCACUUGCUGCGCUUGCAGCCUAGAUGCCACCCCCCCCGCCGCCCCCCCGCCCAGCACCGGGUGUCAUCCGGGUGUUUGCUAAUACCGCCUCCUUGGGAGGUUUUCCCUGUGCUGUGCUGAAUCCGUCCUCCUUCCUGCUCCUUGAGAAAAUGUUCUUAGCCGAUUUAUAAACUGUAGAUAGUGGUUGCCUCCGAGAUGAGCACUGUGAAUGGUGGAUGGGGAAGCUUUGCUUUGAAUUACUUGAGUAUUUUAACGGGAGACUGUGUCAGUCAUGUAAUUUGAAAUACCCUGGAGGUGUGGGAGGGAGAAGAGACCUGACUGGAAACAGGCUACUCUAUGAAUACUCCAGGAUAUGCGCUGCAUUCCCACCUGUGCCUUUCAUUUGGAGAAAAAAUAAUCUAGCCUUCAAUGUUCUAGAAGAGGUCUUUUGGCAAGGACCCCUCAUAUCUGUAGAGACCACAGUAACUCUGAAUACUAAACAAGAGGCCACAGUCAGAAGGCCAGAGGCAUGACCUGUCCACAGAAAUGCUUGGUUACACUUUUUUCAGUGUAUCAAGAAUGGUAUAGCUUUUUAAAUGAGCUUUGUGGGCUCUUGGCAUUUUUGUUUUCAUGGGUCUCUUCCCCUGUGAAAAAUUUAAAAAAUUUCUACUCAUCCCAACUCUUUUCAGGUUCAGAGACCCAAUUCCAAUGUGGGGUGUUGUAUGCCUCCCUCCACCCCCAAGGAUCAGUGGUUCCAAUGACCUCCUCCUUAGGUUCUUUAAUUUGCUAGAGUGGCUCACAGUCCCAGGCUGUGUUCUCUCCUCUUCUCUGGGUUGAAAAUGAGGAGCUGAAGGGCCACAUGGCAUGGGGACCGGCAAAGGGUAAGGGGACAUGACCUGUGUCCUCUCCAGGCACCAUCCUUCUCUGAAUGAUUCUUUUGUCACCUGUUUAGCUCUGUAUGUUAAACAGGUUCCACCGCUGAAUGUGUUUAUGGGUGUAACGCACACAUGUGUGCUUCUGUUCUGGAUGGAACACGGGGCCCUCCCUUGUCUGUACACUCUGGCUAUCAAAGAGCCCACAAAACAAAGUGUGAGCUGUCUGAUGAAACCACUGACUUUCUCUGGGCCUUCAUUUCCCGUCUGUAAAAGUAUAGCACAUGAAUAGCUUUAGGUAGAACAUUUCUUUUGACUGUGAAAUUCAAGGACAAUUCUAGACUACUCUCUGUCACCUUAUGCAGUAUGCUGGGAAGGGCUCUAGAGGUACCUGGCCUGAGUUCGAAUCCAGACUUUGCCACAUCCUAUGAACCCGAUACCUUGUGCAAAUGACUCAACUCUCAUAUACUUCAGUGUCCUUGUCUGCCUCUUCCCCAUGGGAUGUUCCAAAAUUUAACCAAGGAAAAUACCUUUACUGCAGUACGACGCAUACCAAAAGCAUUUAAUACAUGCUAGCUGUUACAAAUUUUAGUUAUCAUAGCUCCCAAGUCCUGGGUAACACAGUUCACAGAGUGCCUCUGGACAGAAUCUGGCCUGUGUGUUUGAAAAAUUA